Molecule: long non-coding RNA, 608 nt
Organism: Canis lupus familiaris (dog)
Lineage: Eukaryota; Metazoa; Chordata; Mammalia; Carnivora; Canidae
Exons: 2
Source: RefSeq, a predicted model, not a curated record
UGAGACUCCAGGAUGACACCCUGGGCGGAAGGUAGACGCUCAACCGCUGAGCCCCACAGAUUACAGCUAUAGGUGAAGAAAAAGUUUUCCUCAACCCUCUUAGGGUCUCUGGCUGGGCCUGAAAAUUAAACUUCCAAAGACAGAUUAACAGGAGAAAAGCAAACACAUUUAUUUAAUAUAAGUUUUACAGAAGAACCUUCAUCAGGAAACGAGGACCACCCAAAAAACCAGAGCUGUGUAUUUUUAUGCUAGGUUGGAUGGAUAGUGGACUGUUACGGAGGAUCGAUUAAAGUGUUCGAGGUAAUUACAGCAAACUGGGGGAACUUGGCAAGGCCCGUCUGUUAGGAUAUUUCUUGGUGUCUCUUUAUCCUCCAAGAGAAGUAUGAGUCUACCUCUCGCAUGACUUUUAUGACCUGUUUCAGAGGAGAAGGGGGAGUGACGAAGUGAAGAGGAGGAGUCAGAAUUACCUUCCUGCUCAGUCUUUUCUCAAACUCUUUCAGCUUAAGAUAUUCAAUAUGCCAAGAUGCCAUCUUUUGGGGUAGUGUGUCCUAAACCCUACCACUACCCCGCUGCCAUAGUUAACCACCAAAUAAAGUAACCAUACUUCA